RNAcentral lists this long non-coding RNA (541 nucleotides) under Mus musculus (house mouse). Its description in RNAcentral is "long non-coding RNA chr9:119453551-119454092". The record is from RNAcentral. Lineage: Eukaryota; Metazoa; Chordata; Mammalia; Rodentia; Muridae.
GCCUGCUUGCACUUGCCUGUGCUUGCUGUCUGGGUGUACUGUGCGUGUCUGUGCCUACUGCUUUCAUGUGGGUUCCAGGGUUGGGAAGUUCAGUCAUUCUCAGAGGUGCUAAAGGAAGCAAAAGACAGCUUCCUCUUCUGACCAACUUGUUCAUUUAAUUUUAGGUUUUUUUUUUUCCAAAUUAUCUUAGAGUGAAAGUGCCUAAAGCUGUCUGUUAUUUUAAUUUGGAAAUGUAAUUAUUCUUGGCUUUGCCUAAAUCCUCUUACUCCCAUCUCCAGGAAAGACUGGUGACCCAUAAAUCUGAAACGUUUCACUCAUGUUUUGUGUGUGUGAAACUGAGAGCUUUACGUAAAUAACCUGCUCUGUAAUAAAAUGUUACACAGCAUAAAGGAAGAACUAACUCAAUUCAGAGCAUCUUGCUACAUAUUUUUAUUGUAUAAGAUAAUUUUUAAAAUUAAACAUAUUUUGAUCAUAUUCUCUUCCUCCCCUGAGUCCUUUCAGAUCAUCUCCCCUCCCUACACACCCAAGUUUAAGUUCUUUC